AAGGAUCAUUAUUGAUAAUUGGAAGGUUGUAGCUGGCCUUUCGGGGCAUGUGCACACUGACCAUUAAUCUCCCAUACACCUGUGAACCCACUGUAGGCCUUUGGCCUAUGUCUUUCAUAAACCCUAUGCAUGUAUCAGAAUGUAAUCUAUUUAUUUGCCUUGAAAAGCAACUAAAAAGCAAUACAACUUUCAACAACGGAUCUCUUGGCUCUC
Molecule: unclassified non-coding RNA, 213 nt
Filed under: uncultured fungus
Lineage: Eukaryota; Fungi
Description: partial contains 18S rRNA, ITS1, 5.8S rRNA, ITS2 and 28S rRNA
Source: RNAcentral